RNAcentral lists this unclassified non-coding RNA (3686 nucleotides) under Hevea brasiliensis (rubber tree). The record is from RNAcentral. Lineage: Eukaryota; Viridiplantae; Streptophyta; Magnoliopsida; Malpighiales; Euphorbiaceae.
AGAUGACUGUCUUUAAGCCUUGACUAGUAGUUAGCGAGCGGAUCAAGCUUAAACCAUUGACCUGUAACUGCCGUUCUCGUUCUCGCAAAUUCCCCAAAAUCUCCUUGCAAUAGAAACCCGCCAAAUGAUCGUUCUGUGUCCCGCUCCGCGCUCCAUACUAUAGAUUCCCGUAUUUGAAAGAGCAAAGGAACGAACAUGUUAGGGGUAUUUCUGGUAAUUAUGCAAAUCCACAAGCAAGCAACUGUUAGAAGCAAGUUCUCGAGUACUGCACUUUCAAUAUACAGCGCCAAGUGCCAAAACCUGUUUCUGGCUUUCUGCUACCUAAUUAUACACCGAAACUCUUUGAUUUGUUUUCUAAAGCUUUCGCUGCUCGUCGACAACAGAAUCGAAACGACACGAGGUGCAGUUUAGGGGUUGAUCGGUCAUCUUUCAUAAGGUAUUGAGACUGAUUUCACAAAAUGCUUGUCUCUGCUCUUCUAACCUCCUUGGGAAUAAAUUCCGGUCUAUGUGUUCUAUUCUUCAUACUGUACUCCAUACUGAGGAAGCAACCAAUUAAUUAUGAAGUUUAUGUACCACGCUUGCUGGCUGAAGGGAAUUCUAAACGAAGAAGUCAUUUCAACCUAGAAAGGCUAAUACCUUCUACUGGUUGGAUUACUAGAGCAUGGAAACUAUCUGAAGAAGACAUUUUGUCAUCCUCAGGCUUAGACGCUGUGGUUUUUAUGCGAGUUAUUACCUUCAGUUUGAGAGUAUUUUCAUUUGCUGGGAUAAUAGGAGUCUUUGUUCUUCUUCCAGUGAACUGCAAGGGAACUCAGCUUCAUGAAAUUGACUUUGCAGAUUUGUCAAAUAAUUCAUUGGAUGUAUUUACCAUUUCAAAUGUAAAUAGUGGCUCAAAAUGGUUGUGGAUUCACUUCUCUGCUGUGUAUGUCGUCACUAUUUUCGUAUGUUGUCUACUUUAUUAUGAAUAUAGAUAUAUAUCUUUGAAAAGGAUUGCUUAUUUUUAUUCAUCCAAACCUCAGCCACAUCAGUUCACCAUCUUAGUUCGUGGUAUCCCUGUUUCAGUUGGCAGCAGUGUCAGUGAAAGUGUUGAGAGCUUCUUUACAGAGUUUCACCCUACUACUUAUCUGUCGCAUAUGGUUGUUCAUCGAACUAGCAAACUUCGGAGUCUCAUAAAUGAAGCAAAGACAUUGUAUAAAAGGCUUCUUCACUUGCAAUUGGAACCCCCUCAGCAGAAGUAUAGACGUGUUGGAUUAUUUGGAGAAAAGGUUGAUCUUGUGGAUCAUUAUGAAAAGAAGUUAGAAGACAUAGAGCAGAAUUUAAGAUUAGAGCAAUCUGAUUUAUCAUUGGCAGAAGAAACUCGGGCUGCCUUUGUGUCCUUCAAAUCUCGAUAUGGUGCUGCUGUUGCUUUCCACUUGCAACAAUCAAUCAACCCCACGCAGUGGGUUACAGAGGAAGCCCCUGAACCUGAUGAUGUUUAUUGGCCUUUUUUUUCUUCAUCAUUCAUGCGAAGAUGGAUUUCUAAGCUUGUGGUUGUAGUUGCAUGUAUUCUUCUAACAAUUUUAUUCCUCGUCCCUGUUGUAGUUGUGCAAGGUCUUACUAACCUGAGUCAGUUGGAGAUUUGGUUUCCAUUCUUGAAAAGCAUUCUAACCAUCACGUUUGUUAGUCAAGUAAUCACAGGAUACCUUCCCAGUCUAAUUCUUCUGUUGUUUCUUAAGAUCGUGCCUCCAAUCAUGGAGUUCCUUUCCUCCAUUCAAGGAUACAUUUCUCACAGUGAUAUAGAGAAGAGUGCAUGUAACAAAGUACUUUGGUUCACAAUAUGGAACAUUUUUUUCGCAACUGUGUUUUCUGGGUCAGUGUUAUACCAGGUUUCCAUCUUUCUUGAACCCAAGAAUAUUCCUGCAAAGCUGGCUGUUGCUGUUCCUGCACAGGCAUCAUUUUUCAUUGCUUAUGUUGUGACGUCUGGGUGGACAAGCACUGCUUCAGAGCUCUGUCGCAUAAUUCCUCUUAUUUACUCUCUAGUAACAAGAUUUUGCAAAAGUACAGAUGAACUUGAAGUUCCAUCUCUUCCUUAUCACAGGGACAUCCCAAGAAUUCUUUUCUUUGCACUUCUCGGCAUUACAUAUUUCUUCCUAGCUCCAUUAAUUUUGCCCUUCCUCCUGAUGUACCUCUGUCUUGCAUACAUCAUCUUCAGUAAUCAGGUUAGGAUCUUUGCAAGCUUUUCCCUUUUGUUUGGUUACUACUUAUAAUUUCACUCAUUACAAAUGCCUCAUGUUAGUGUAGACUCCUGUUUCCAAUUUGCUAUGAAAUUUGAAGUAAGGUUAUAUAUCAUUCUGUAAGACAAUUAUUAAGUACCAAUUGGAAAGUUAAUUAUUUUAGAAUGGAUAAAAAUGCAUUAAUUGCGUGGGUUUAUCUAUCUUCUAAAUGCAAUAUUGAUAUUGCAAACAACUUUUCUUUCUAUAAUGGUAAAGUUAAGAUAUAAAAUCAUGGAAGUGCACUUUGACUGAAUCCAUAAGUAAGAAUGUGCAGUGGUCUUAGUUCAUUCCUACUUGUAACAGAUGUGGGAAAGUGGUUAAUAUUCUACUGAAUGUGGGUGCAUGUGUGCGAAUAUGUUCUUAUGUUAGAUAUUGGUAGUAAGAUUUUCCCCUUUCAGUUUGCAUAACAAAAUUUUUGCCAGAUCACUAACUUUUAAGUCACUAAAGGGAUCAACACUUUAUCACUGGUCUGCGUAACUUUAGUUCUAAAGAUUUUUUAUGUUAGCACUAGACCCUUACAAUAUUUUGAUGAACUUUGAUACUCUGUGAUUGUAUCACACAGUUCAUAAAUGUAUACAUGCCCAAGUAUGAGACUGCUGGGAAGUUCUGGCCUAUUGUGCACAAUUCAAUGAUAUUCUCUUUGGUACUCAUGCAUGCAAUUUCAAUUGGAAUCUUUACACUAAAGAAGCUAUCUAUUGCAUCAACUUUAGUUUUUCCGCUUCCAGUCCUCACACUGCUCUUCAAUGAGUACUGCCGAAAACGCUUUCUACCCAUUUUUAUUGCUUACCCUGCUGAGGUAUGUUAUGUGCCAUACUUUUCCACCCUAUGUCCGGGUGGAUAAUAGUCUUAUUCACUGUGCUGGCUUUAGAGUUCCUACUUCCUAAUAAUUGUUUACUGGGCCGGGUUUAUGUUUUUAGGUUUUAAUAAAAAAGGACCAGGAAGAGGCAAACGACCCUGCAAUGGCUGAAUUUUUUGAUAAAUUGGUCACUGCCUAUCAAGACCCGGCUCUAUUGCCAAUUCGGUACUCUGUGAACUCCAACAGUCUUAACAGUCCCCUUAUAUCAUCUGAUGAUGUUUGAAUCUAAGUUAUGAUUAAAUUUAUAUUGUAUUGACUGGUAAUGGCAGUUUCUAUUAUCUACUGCCAUUUUGAUGAGUGAUGAUCUUUUCCUGCCGUGAGUUGGUGUCCCAACGAAAAGCAUUUUCCAUACACAUGCAUACAUGCCUGGAUGUAUAUAUGUCCAUUUGUGAUAGUUCUUUGAUUUUUUUUUUUUUUAAUUUUAAAAUGUAAAUUGUUUUGUAAAUUUACCUUGAGAUAUUGGUGCAUACAAGCAUACGAUCAACCCCAAUUUUAGAAGCAUGUUACUUGACGCAUGAACUGAUCUUCAUGUAUACCUGUCAACAACAAAUAUUUGGUGCAAUGCUGAUAUACUAUUGCCA